This 465-nucleotide ribosomal RNA is filed under the name uncultured bacterium. Its description in RNAcentral is "partial 16S ribosomal RNA". It matches the Rfam family "Bacterial small subunit ribosomal RNA", at positions 28 to 507 of the family's 1533-position model. The record is from RNAcentral.
GACGAACGCUGGCGGCGUGCUUAACACAUGCAAGUCGAACGGAAAGGCCCCUUUGGGGGUACUCGAGUGGCGAACGGGUGAGUAACACGUGAGUAACCUGCCCUUGACUUCGGGAUAACUUCAGGAAACUGGGGCUAAUACCGGAUAGGAAUCCUUGCUGCAUGGUGGGGGUUGGAAAGCUUCGGCGGUUUCGGAUGGACUCGCGGCUUAUCAGCUUGUUGGUGGGGUAGUGGCUUACCAAGGCUUUGACGGGUAGCCGGCCUGAGAGGGCGACCGGCCACAUUGGGACUGAGAUACGGCCCAGACGCCUACGGGAGGCAGCAGUGGGGAAUAUUGCACAAUGGGCGGAAGCCUGAUGCAGCAACGCCGCGUGCGGGAUGACGGCCUUCGGGUUGUAAACCGCUUUCAGCAGGGGCGAAGCUUGUGGUGACGGUACCUGCAGAAGAAGCACCGGCUAACUACGUG